This 1394-nucleotide long non-coding RNA is filed under the name Betta splendens (Siamese fighting fish). RNAcentral's name for it is "lncRNA (ENSBSLG00000013815.1)". The record is from RNAcentral. Lineage: Eukaryota; Metazoa; Chordata; Actinopteri; Anabantiformes; Osphronemidae.
CUUUAAACAAUACAAUAUGCAAACAAGUAUAUGAACACGUCCAAUUAGUCAUAACAGCAAAAUACAAACCACUGAUCUCAGUGUGAAUCAGUGGUUCAUUGAUCGACAUUGGAGCCUGUUGCUAUUUGUUGUCUUUGUAGUGUAUGUCAAAUUUACUUUUUAUGGAAAGAAUUGGAUACAGAUGAAAAAAUGCUUUGAUUUAUUAACUCCACGACAUUCAUUUUUCAAACUGUGACAGAAAACUGAAAUAUUGUAAGUAUUACAGAAAAAACAAGUAAACUAAAUUACAGUCAAACUUAUUGGAGGAUGAGACACAGCCACUGUAGAUACUCAGUCUCUGCUUUAGACCUCCUCUAUUUACGCUGGUAAAGAACAACACAGACCUGGUUUCAUUUUAAGGUCUAAAGACUCAUAGCAAAUUAAAGAUUUGAAGGAGUGUCAAACAGGUGCUAUGGUCAGUUCAUACUGGUUUGGCUGGUUUCUAAUAAUUAGGAACAGAUGGUUUCUCUUUGGUCUCCAAAGCUAAAACAAUGGAGUUUAGACUGUUUGAAUGACGUCAGUGUUAACUGUUUUGCAAAAUGGAGGAAAAAAUGUGUCCAUGAGAACGGGUUUACACAUUUGUUACAUGUGUCUGAUGCACUGUAAUAGUAAUAAAGUGACUAAACAGACUGGCAUUAUUUAAGUGGACAGCAGUAGUAAAGAAAACUAUCUCAGGUGUUCUCAUUUAAUAUGGACUAAAAAUAUAAAGUCCACAGAUUUUACUCAUUGUUUUAUGGUCUAUGAAUAAAGAACAAAUUCCCACAGAUUCACAUCUUUGAAUGCAGAUGGAAAGAUUUGCUUCUGUAACUUUUACUUUUGCUUUGCUGAGAUAAAGGAGGAGAUGAAGUGUCAGCAUCACUAAGGUCAGGCAAAGGUCAAGGUCAGCGUAAGCGUGGGUUCUGCUUAAAUUGAUUCCUGUGUCUGACGAGACCUAAGUCGGUGCAGAUGAGUCCACGUGAAGUCCAGGGAACUGCUUUGCAUCUGCUACAACCAUUCGCUUGCAUGAACGUCAUAACAUGGAUGUUAUGUCUGUGUAAUCUGCACAUUCACUGUCUGGAAGAGGUAACAUGGCACGUUUACACAAAGAAGAGUGAAACUUCCUGACAACACAAACUAUCGGUAGAAGUGAUCAUUUGAGGAAGCGAACAGGAACAAUGAUGACAUCAAAACUGGUUUUAAAGCAGCAAACUGAAGCGUUAAGAAAGCAGGAAGCAGACGUGUGCGAUGGUGGCUCAUAGAUCAGCUGAUACCUGACAACUGAAUGAUAGGAGCCACAGUCAGUCUGAACAAUGCAAACAUAUUAUUUAAAAAACUAUCAGUGAAUUUGUGACAAAAUAAACAUCAAGCGAAGAACA